UACAGAGGUGGCGAGCGUUGUUCGGAUUUACUGGGCGUAAAGGGCGCGUAGGCGGCCCCGUGUGUCGCGUGUGAAAUCCCCGGGCUCAACCCGGGAAGUGCGCGCGAAACUGCGGGGCUCGAGCGGAGGAGGGGAGAGCGGAAUUCAUGGUGUAGCGGUGAAAUGCGUUGAUAUCAUGAGGAACACCGGUGGCGAAGGCGGCUCUCUGGAAUCCUGCUGACGCUGAGGCGCGAAAGCCGGGGGAGCAAACAGG
RNAcentral lists this ribosomal RNA (253 nucleotides) under uncultured bacterium. RNAcentral describes it as "partial 16S ribosomal RNA". It matches the Rfam family "Bacterial small subunit ribosomal RNA", at positions 524 to 776 of the family's 1533-position model. The record is from RNAcentral.